GCGCCCAUAGCUCAAUUGGAUAGAGCAUCUGACUACGGAUCAGAAGGUUGGGGGUUCAAGUCCCUCUGGGCGUGCCA
RNAcentral lists this transfer RNA (77 nucleotides) under Gemmatimonadota bacterium. Its description in RNAcentral is "Gemmatimonadetes bacterium tRNA-Arg". It matches the Rfam family "tRNA". From Rfam's summary of the family: Transfer RNA (tRNA) molecules are approximately 80 nucleotides in length. Their secondary structure includes four short double-helical elements and three loops (D, anti-codon, and T loops). Lineage: Bacteria; Pseudomonadati; Gemmatimonadota. The record is from RNAcentral.